AGGACCACCCCUUCCCGAGUCCCGGAGCUGUGCGCCCCCAGAUCCUGGGGCUAAGGACUGGUUUGGGCGCCCAGAGAGCCAGUAAGAUAGUUACCUGUCUCUGGUGGUGCGGGUGGUCUGGGCGUCAGUCUGUCUCCCUGGCACCCAUCACUCUCGCUUAAACCGGGUGGCAAGUCCUCCCCGAAGGCAGAAGUGGCUGGCAUGGAUCUCUCUCAAGGAGGCUCAGCUCCAGGCUGGGGGACUCGGUCACCGGGGCUGUCUAUGCCCGUCCAGGACGCCGCGAAUGAAGCCAUUCUGCAGGUCGCUCGCCACCAAGCGCUCUUCAAAUGUGCGCAGAAUGAAGGCGAAGCACACCUAAGAUCUUCUCAUGGCAUACUGGUUGAAAAUAACUGGUGUAAGAGCUCUUUCCUGACCUCUCUAGUCUCUGCACCUGUCACCAACGGUGACCUUCAGCCAUCGCCGGUAGCUACUGGCUACCAGCAAGAGAGAUGUGGAGUUCAGAGAAACAGCUUCAGAAAGCUUGAGACUCCUGGGAAUUCACUAAGGUUUCCCUUCCCUCCCUACGCAUUAAGCAAGGAGGAGCUAGAUAUUUCAUCAAAUAAUCCAAGAAGUAGCCCUGUGCCAUGGAGUGCCAUGAAGAAGCUCAAAUGCCAGCAAAAUGCCACCCAGGGUAGGAAGCAGGAGGUGGAUGAUGGUCUUCCUAGAAGAAGAACUGACAACUCAUCAUGGACGUAAAAGACAAGACUAAUUCCCAUCUAAAACAACUUCAGGAUUCUUCUCGCCAUGGUGGCUCGGGCAACCAGCCAUUCAUCGGGGUAGCAUUUGAAGUGGAACUCAUUUGCUCUUCUAGAUAAAACCCAUGGAUUCAUGGAUCAGACCAGAGCGCCCCCUUUCCAGCACUGAGGCUGAAAUGGUGCUAUGGAAGCUGGGAGGCACUGGACGCUUGUCAGAGGCUGUCAUUGAAAUGACCCCAGAAGUCACAGGAUAUGACCUUCGAGAAGCUGGGUCCCAUCAAAGAGGGGUCUUUACUCAUGCAGAACAUUUCUGUAUGAAUUUGCCAAAGCAGAUGGCAUAGCUGCCCAAGGGAGACAGGCUGGGUUUACGAAAGAGCACCAAUAUCUGAGCACACAGACACUGCUCCGAACCCUAUCUGAGUAGAGGAAUUCCAUCCAGAUGGUGCCAGAAGGAGCUGCAGGGGGAGUGGGGGGGGGUUUCAGCAGAGACCUCUCAGAUCUGCUGCUGCCUCCCCAGGCCCAGGCUAAGGAGCAGCCUUAGAAGGCCCUUUGAGUGGAACUGUUGGCUGCCAGGCAUGGGACAACACCCUGUGGUCUCAAGAGCAAUGCUUUGGGAAUGGAAACUUCCACAGAUCAAUCAAAAUGAUCGGACACUUCAAAGAGCAGAAGGGAAGCGGGUGCCUGGAGAGGACUAUCACCAUGUACUCUUUAAGGGUCUGCACAGGCAACUGUAGCCCUCCCCAAAUGGGGAGGGUCUCCAACAGCCAGUGGGAGGGGGAGCCUGGGAUUCCCCUGUCCCUUGGCUCCCCCAAAGGGACUCAGGUUUCUUCUCUGUCUUAGAAAAGUCAACGCCGAGAGGAGGUGAGUGCUAGAAAAGCCAACGCUGAGAUGAGGUGAGCGCUUAUAGAUCAUUUUGCAGUGGAUUGUGGGAAACACCAGCUGGACAGUAAGCGUGUGAGAGCGGGAAGGGAAGACAGAAAAAAACAGAUCGGGAUCACUCAGUGGGAGACAGCAUAGAACAGACAUGUGAGUUGUCCCAUCUGAGGGACAACGGAGCUGGGCUCUGGUCUCCACUCCUAUCCAUCAUGCGGGGGUCAGAGCCCACAGGUGAAGGGCCCACAGACUCAGGCUCGAACUGGAACAGUGAAUGCUCAGGAGACACAUGCAGGGCCCAGCAACUCUGCACCAUCAUGUUACUCCAUCUUUUCUCCCCUUACUUCUUUCUUUCCUCUUUUCCUUUCCUCCACUUCACCUCUGGAUCCUUCCUUACUGUGCCUGAUGUUGCCAGCAUCUUUUCCUCGUGGUACCUGGAAUCCAGUGUUCCUUAAAGUGUGGUCCACCGACUUCCCAGAAUUCUUGGUAAAGGCCCUGUGUCACAGUGACAGCAGUGAUUUGCCAGUUUUGGAAUCUCCAGGCCCUGCCCUUGCCCCCAUGUGACCAUUUGCCUCCUUUGGGUGCCACCAGCUGACCACCUUGCCUCCCUCCAAAUGCUUUAUCCAGCCACUGGACUGGCUGUCUCUCCAGUGUUACCUCUGCUCUGCACUGAACUUUCCCAGAAUUUAGGGUUGGACCUUUAUCUAAUAGAUGAGGAGAAGUGGGCCUCACCCCCACCUCCCAUCCAUUCACACCCAUCACAUCUGGCCAGUUGCUCCUCGGGGUGACCGUGAUCCACAGGGAAAGAAAGUCAGAAAUUAAAGUCCUUCUGUUCAAACAAGCAGUCACAGCAAGGCACCCAUGGCUUUGCUGUGUGCAGCUCAAUGUCCCAUUCAUAGGGUAACACACAGUCACAUCAAGGUACCAGCAGUGCCAGACAGCGUGAUACAGCCACGUGCAAAGCCAGGGAUAAUUUUACAGUGUGUGCACAGUGACACAGUCAGCCACCAAUCACACACAGUAACGCUCCUUUUCACAAUAACAUGUGGGUACACAAAUUGUCACAGCAUGGAAAGAAACACAAUCAGCACAGAGUAGAGUAACAGUCACUGGAGACUCCAAAGGUGGGAGGGUAGGAGGGGGUGAGGGGGGAAAAAUGAACUAAUAGGUACAACGUACGCUAGUCAGGUGCCAGUACCCUAAAAGCCCAAAUUUCCCCACUGUGUAAUAUAUUCCAUGUAACAAAGCUGCUCUUGUACCCACUAAAUCUAUUGAAAUAAAAAAAAAUGUGCUACUUAAAAAUGUAUCCAGGCCUCACAAUAAAAUCAGCUCUUCCAAAAAAAAUAAAAAAGAAAGAAAAGAAAAGAAGAAGAAACACUGUUAGGAGCAACACAUGGUCCUGGACAUGUGAUCUUAUGGUGACAUCAUCACAUACCAUAUAAUACAAUUGCACAGCAAGACAGCGUCACAAACACAUGUGCACACAUGUAUGCACACACACAGUAACUCAGUCCACAGCAGCGCACAGGUGGAAAGAAAUCCCACAGAGCAACACACGGUGAUGGUCGUGACAAAACAACACACACGGGGAAGCAGAGAGGCAGGGACGCACAACCAUGUUGCCACUGACGGCACUGCAGUCACACAGAGCCUGGGAGGCACCAGGAGUGCGGUGGAGUUGCAGAGGGUGGGGGAAAGCGGCUUUGUUUGCACAGAUGUCUCCUAAAGCAGCCAGGGUGUUAUUUAGCUUCUUGGAUGAGCUAAUGGAUUGCAGCGGCUCGGGAGCCUGGAGGUUUGUUAGUGGCCCCUAGAGCAAGGGCUCCUCCUUCACGCUCCCCCACCCUCACUGACUUCUCCUUUCUCACUACGGUAGCUAGCCCCUGUCCCCAAAGCCAGGGCCCCGUUUGAACAAGAAGGGCAGAAGCUGAACAAAUAUUUGCAGCAGGCCUCACUUGGCACUUACAGGCAGGGGGCUUCCUUCUGGGACUGAGAACUAGCCUGUGCCAGGCAGAUUCUGCUCAGCAUGGCCUGGGUGGGAGGUCCCGGCCAGGCUGGGCUCUGUCCUGCUGGGGGCCUCUGUCUCCCACUUGCCCCACUGCCUUCCCUUCCAUUCACAGCUGGCCUCUCCUCUCCUGAGAGUGGUGUCUACACCUGCCACCUUGCCUCUCGUCCACACCCCGAAUGGAAUCACCCAGAGCCUCCAAUGUCAUCUUCCUUUUCCCCGGCCACUUUCUGGCCUGGGCUGCCAUUGACCACAUUGUGUCCUCUCCCACCGCAUUUCAGGCAGACAUCUCCACACAGCCCUUUCCUGCGUGUCGCUUAAGUCCCUCUUCCUGUCUCCUUCCCAGGCUCUACUCUGGCAUGUUGGUGCCCUCUUGGCUCUCAGUCACUGACCCUCCCUAAAUGCCCCCAGGAAAUCUUUCUUUUCUUUCCUUUCCUUUCCUUUUCCUUCCUUCCGAGACAGAGUCUCACUUUGUUGCCCUUGGUAGAGUGCUGUGGCAUCACAGCUCACAGCAACCUCCAGCUCUUGGGCCUAGGCGAUUCUCUUGCCUCAGCCUCUCAAGUAGCUGGAACUACAGGCGCCCAUCACAACUCCUGGCUAUUUUUUUGUUGUUGUUGAAGUUUGGCCGGGGCUGGGUUCGAACCUGCCACCCUCAGCAUAUGGGGCCAGCGCCCGACUCACUGAGCCUCAGGCACUGCCCUGCUGGGCAGCUUUCUUUUGGUACUUGCUAUCUGUAUGGCCUUGGGGAAGUUACUUUGCUUUUGUUUACCUCACUUUCCCAUCUGUAAAAUGGGGGCAAUGAUAAUUUCUACCUCAUAGGGCUUUGUAAUGACUAAGAUUAAAUGAAUUAAUAUACAUGAAGUGUUUAGGAGAGUACCUGGCAUGUAGUAACUGCUACAUAAUGAUUGGCUAUUUGGCUGUUAUCUUUACCCCUAAUAUAGCAAAAACUUACAUACCUGCAUUUGUAACAAAUGAGAGAUACGAUUUGCUAGCUUCCUGGAGCUGGAAAGUAAAGGGAAAUGAGCAAUUAAAGACUGACAGAUGGCUGGGCGUGGUGGCUCAUGGUUAUAAUCCUAGCUCUCUGGGAGGCCUGAUGCAGGUGGAUUGCUUGAUCUCAGGAGUUCAAGACCAGCCUGAGCAAGAAUAAGACCUCAUCUCUACUAAAAAUAGAAAAAUUAGCUGGAGUCCCAGCUACUCGGGAGGCUGAGGCAGGAGGAUAGCUUAAGCCCAAGAGUUUUGGGUUGUUGCUGUGAGCCAUGAUGCCUUCUCCAUCAGGGUGACAGAGUGGGACUCUAUCUAAUAAUAAAUAAAUAAAAUAAGUAAAGACUAACAGAUGCCCUCAGAAGCAUGGGCAGAUAUGACUGGGAAAGUCUCAACUUAUAAACCACAAGCAUGUUGGUUUCCCAUAGGGAACAUCUCCCACUGGAACAUCUCCCAGCCUCCAAGAUGGCCCAGGGUUUCUUUCUCCGGGAUCCAUGUCUUUGGGCAGUCCCCUCUCACACUGAACAGGGCUGACCCAUAUAACCUGUUCAAUAUUGUGGAAAUAACAAUAUGUGACUCCCAAGGCUAUAAACUUAUCACAAAAGACAGUGCAGUUUCUACCUUGCUCUCUCUUGGAUCACUUGCUCUGGGGGAAGCCAGGCUGGGUGUUGCUAGGACACAUGGGUAGCCCUAGAGCAAGAUCCAUGUCAUGAGCCAACUGCUGAAACCAAUUUGCUGUCCAGAUGAGUAAGUCACCUUCUAAGUGGCUCCUCAGUCCCCGUCAAGCCUUCUGAUAGAUGACGGCUAACAUCGGGACUGCAAGCUCAUGAGAGACCCAAAUCAGAACCUCCUCCUAAGCCUCGAAUCGUUAACUCACAGAAACCAUGAGAGAUAAUAAAAUUGAUUGUUUUAAACCACUGAGUUUUGAGGAAGCUAUCACUAGAAAGUUUAAUGUUUUAAAAAUGGGAAGGGUUCAUUAAAUCAUGUUUAUCCUCCAGGAAAUAUAUAUUUUUAUAUAACCUUUGGAUUUCUUAGUAUAUAAGAUUAUAUAUUCACAAUAUGAAUUCCUUUAGAAAGAGCAUCUAUUCUUGGACUUGUAUUUAUUUUAUCGGGUAUGUGCUUGAUUUAUGGUCAGCAUCCAAUAGCUGUUGAAUAAAGGAACAAAAUGUAAUAUAUUACCUAUGUAUCAAAAUGCCAAAUAUGUUAACUUCCUGUUCUUUGC
Molecule: long non-coding RNA, 5812 nt
Organism: Nycticebus coucang (slow loris)
Lineage: Eukaryota; Metazoa; Chordata; Mammalia; Primates; Lorisidae
Exons: 4
Source: RefSeq, a predicted model, not a curated record